Molecule: ribosomal RNA, 274 nt
Filed under: uncultured bacterium
Lineage: Bacteria
Description: partial 16S ribosomal RNA
Rfam family: Bacterial small subunit ribosomal RNA
Source: RNAcentral
AUACGGAGGGUGCAAGCGUUACUCGGAAUCACUGGGCGUAAAGCGCGCGCAGGCGGUCUUUUAAGUUGGAUGUGAAAGCCUACGGCUCAACCGUAGAACUGCAUCCAAAACUAUUAGACUAGAGUGUGGGAGAGGAAGAUUGAAUUAGUUGUGUAGGGGUAAAAUCCGUAGAGAUAACUAGGAAUACCAAAAGCGAAGGCAAUCUUCUGGAACACUACUGACGCUGAGGCGCGAAAGCGUGGGGAGCAAACAGGAUUAGAAACCCGAGUAGUCC